GCUGCACACAGUUGGAGCUUGGAGCUGAGGCCGCGCCCCGGCCGAGGAGCUCCCGAGUGUAGGACGUGUGCUACAGUGACCCGGCAGGAGCCGCCUGCACCACGAGGGUCUCCUGGCCCCAGGAGUGGUGCUUGGUGGUCGUUCUUGCCACAGGG
Molecule: small nucleolar RNA, 155 nt
Filed under: Merops nubicus (carmine bee-eater)
Lineage: Eukaryota; Metazoa; Chordata; Aves; Coraciiformes; Meropidae
Source: RNAcentral